AGUAAAAGUCGUAACAAGGUUUCCGUAGGUGAACCUGCGGAAGGAUCAUUACAGAAUGAAAAGUGCUUAACUGCAUUUUUUCUUACACAUGUGUUUUUCUUUUUUUGAAAACUUUGCUUUGGUAGGCCUUCUAUAUGGGGCCUGCCAGAGAUUAAACUCAACCAAAUUUUAUUUAAUGUCAACCGAUUAUUUAAUAGUCAAAACUUUCAACAACGGAUCUCUUGGUUCUCGCAUCGAUGAAGAACGCAGCGAAAUGCGAUAAGUAAUAUGAAUUGCAGAUAUUCGUGAAUCAUCGAAUCUUUGAACGCACAUUGCGCCCUUUGGUAUUCCAAAGGGCAUGCCUGUUUGAGCGUCAUUUCUCCCUCAAACCCUCGGGUUUGGUGUUGAGCGAUACGCUGGGUUUGCUUGAAAGAAAGGCGGAGUAUAAACUAAUGGAUAGGUUUUUUCCACUCAUUGGUACAAACUCCAAAACUUCUUCCAAAUUCGACCUCAAAUCAGGUAGGACUACCCGCUAACUAA
Molecule: small RNA, 519 nt
Filed under: Lodderomyces parapsilosis
Lineage: Eukaryota; Fungi; Ascomycota; Pichiomycetes; Serinales; Debaryomycetaceae
Description: eukaryotic LSU rRNA
Rfam family: 5.8S ribosomal RNA (bases 202-355)
Source: RNAcentral